RNAcentral lists this ribosomal RNA (253 nucleotides) under uncultured bacterium. Its description in RNAcentral is "partial 16S ribosomal RNA". It matches the Rfam family "Bacterial small subunit ribosomal RNA", at positions 524 to 776 of the family's 1533-position model. The record is from RNAcentral.
UACGGAGGGUGCGAGCGUUGUCCGGAAUCACUGGGCGUAAAGGGCGCGUAGGCGGCCUGAUAAGUAGGGGGUGAAAUCCUGCGGCUUAACCGCAGGGCUGCCUUCUAGACUGUCAGGCUAGAGCACAGUAGAGGCAGGUGGAAUUCCCGGUGUAGCGGUGGAAUGCGUAGAGAUCGGGAGGAACACCGGUGGCGAAGGCGGCUUCCUGGACUGUCCCUGACGCUGAGGCGCGAAAGCGUGGGUAGCAAACAGG